GCUGAGUGCGGGAUCCGGCGGUCACAGGCAGUCACAGCAGCUCACCUAGGUCGCCUUCCUUUUCUACACGCGUGUGACAGUGAAAACCUAGAUCGCGGGGGCGCCCAAUCCCCGCGUCUCCUCUCUUUCCCCCAAUCCCGUCUCUCCUCUUCCCUCCAAUCUCCGCUUCUCCUCUUCGUGCGUCGCUGUUGUGGAGAACACGAGCAGGUGCUGGAGGACGGCAUCUCAGAGGAGGGUGGCGGCGAGCCGGCGGACCGGCGGGGAUGACCAUGGGGGCGCGGCGCCGGAUGGGGACGGCAGCGGUGGUGGCCUGGAGGAGGAGGGUGGCCUCAACACGGAGAGUGGUGGCGGCGCGGCGCCUCAAGCUCGAGAAGGUCGUCCACUGCCGGCAGGGGUUCGAGAUCUGGCGGAUCGAGCGAUGCACGGACGAAGGCCGCCCGGCCCCAGCAAUGUCCACGACGCGGCCAGCUCCGGCAAGGGCAGGCCGACGUGAGCUUGGGCAGGGGGCUGGCCUGGGUGGGCGCGGCGAGCUCCUGCUCCGGCAAGGGGCAGGCGCGGCGAGGUCUGGCUCCGGCAAGGGGCGGGCGCAGGAGAACUCCACCUCCAACGGGGCGGCCGGAGGAGGCGCUGCAGGAGCGCGCAUGGAGGAGGGAGCGGAUCCAAACCUUCCCCCACCACCACGGCCAUCGCUCCCUCGACAAGAAGCGCCACAUCCCAACAUGUACCGGGUAAAAUCCUAACACUAGCUCAUGUAUUUCUCGAUCUGACAGUGAUGGGCAUGGCCAGGGAUCUGCUUGAAGAAUGGCAAUGACGAGGUGGAACUCCUGCAUCCUCCGACCCUGGAUUUUAUUGCUGGUACUGUGCUGCUAGAUGUGUGAGCUGCUGGUUAGACAUGUUUUUAGUGUCAUUGUGCGUUGCUGGUUUAUUAGUAUUUGUGGCAAGCACGAAUCAACUGAAAUUAUUUUGUUCUGCAGAUCUGUAUAUUUGUGAUUUAUUAGUAUUAGUAUUUAACGAUAAAAGUUUCAAAAGGAUUGAACAACAAUCGAAGUUGUCCUAUGUUUACCGAAGUGGCGAUUAUAUAUAUUUCAAUAGCCUCUUAUGUUCUUUAUUGUUGGAUUUGCUGAUAAACUACCUUUUGUGUUGUUUAUUACUUUGCAGGUUUACUGGUUUUAGUUCAGAUGGAAGAUCUCCAGGAUUAGGAAGGAUUCAGGAUGAUAAUGUUGUAGAUGCGAAUGAUGAGUAUGAGGAGAAAGCGAGAGAUCAUACCUUAAGUGGAAGAAGAACAAGGUGAUCUCUCUGUCACAAGGGGAAUGUUGUGAGAACAAGGACUUACUCGAGCCUUGCAGCGUGAAUGCAGUAGCACGCAGCGCUAGGUCGAGCACACUGGCCUUUACGACAAGAGACCGGUACCAUCAGAUUCGCUUUAGUUCUUGCUUGGUUGCUUACUAGGUUCCUAUAAGAGAAAGGCCAGGUUCACCUUUUUUCCUGCUGCAAAGAUCACCAUCAUACAGGCAUUUGGCCUUUAUUUAUGUGAAUUUCUUUGUAAUUAUUUGAUUUGGUUACAUGCUAAUAAGGCAUACCAUGAUACCAAAACUUACCAGAUGUAAAUCUUGCAACCACCAACUAAUGAUUUUGAGGUUUAACUUUUGCUUCUGUGUUGAGUAUGUUGGUCUAAUGGUGAAGAGCUUCCAGGGCUUGUUGCUUGUCGGUUUGCAAGGCGUUGGUUCUUGAGGCAAGCUUAUUUGGAGCCUCCAGUUUGUCCUGGCAUCAUGAAAAGGAUGCCUGC
Lolium perenne is the source of this 1786-nucleotide non-coding RNA. Lineage: Eukaryota; Viridiplantae; Streptophyta; Magnoliopsida; Poales; Poaceae. The record is from RefSeq and is a predicted model, not a curated record.